AGCGAACGCUGGCGGCAGGCCUAACACAUGCAAGUCGAACGAACCUUUCGGGGUUAGUGGCGGACGGGUGAGUAACACGUGGGAACGUGCCUUUAGGUUCGGAAUAACUCAGGGAAACUUGUGCUAAUACCGAAUGUGCCCUUCGGGGGAAAGAUUUAUCGCCUUUAGAGCGGCCCGCGUCUGAUUAGCUAGUUGGUUGAGGUAAUGGCUCACCAAGGCGACGAUCAGUAGCUGGUCUGAGAGGAUGAUCAGCCACAUUGGGACUGAGACACGGCCCAAACUCCUACGGGAGGCAGCAGUGGGGAAUCUCGCGCAAUGGGCGAAAGCCUGACGCAGCCAUGCCGCGUGAAUGAUGAAGGUCUUAGGAUUGUAAAAUUCUUUCACCGGGGACGAUAAUGACGGUACCCGGAGAAGAAGCCCGGCUAACUUCGUG
RNAcentral lists this ribosomal RNA (433 nucleotides) under uncultured bacterium. Its description in RNAcentral is "partial 16S ribosomal RNA". It matches the Rfam family "Bacterial small subunit ribosomal RNA", at positions 29 to 507 of the family's 1533-position model. The record is from RNAcentral.